ACGAACGCUGGCGGCAGGCUUAACACAUGCAAGUCGAGCGAGACCUUCGGGUCUAGCGGCGGACGGGUGAGUAACGCGUGGGAACGUGCCCUUCUCUACGGAAUAGCCCCGGGAAACUGGGAGUAAUACCGUAUACGCCCUUUGGGGGAAAGAUUUAUCGGAGACGGAUCGGCCCGCGUUGGAUUAGGUAGUUGGUGGGGUAAUGGCCCACCAAGCCGACGAUCCAUAGCUGGUUUGAGAGGAUGAUCAGCCACACUGGGACUGAGACACGGCCCAGACUCCUACGGGAGGCAGCAGUGGGGAAUCUUAGACAAUGGGGGCAACCCUGAUCUAGCCAUGCCGCGUGAGUGAUGAAGGCCUUAGGGUUGUAAAGCUCUUUCAGCUGGGAAGAUAAUGACGGUACCAGCAGAAGAAGCCCCGGCUAACUCCGU
RNAcentral lists this ribosomal RNA (431 nucleotides) under uncultured bacterium. Its description in RNAcentral is "bacterial SSU rRNA". It matches the Rfam family "Bacterial small subunit ribosomal RNA", at positions 29 to 506 of the family's 1533-position model. The record is from RNAcentral.